UGGGAAUAUUGGGCAAUGGGCGCAAGCCUGACCCAGCAACGCCGCGUGAAGGAAGAAGGCUUUCGGGUUGUAAACUUCUUUGUCGGGGACGAGUAGAAGACGGUACCUGGCGAAUAAGCCACGGCUAACUACGUGCCAGCAGCCGCGGUAAUACGUAGGUGGCAAGCGUUGUCCGGAUUUACUGGGUGUAAAGGGCGUGUAGCCGGGAAGGCAAGUCAGAUGUGAAAUCCACGGGCUUAACUCGUGAACUGCAUUUGAAACUACUUUUCUUGAGUAUCGGAGAGGCAAUCGGAAUUCCUAGUGUAGCGGUGAAAUGCGUAGAUAUUAGGAGGAACACCAGUGGCGAAGGCGGAUUGCUGGACGACAACUGACGGUGAGGCGCGAAAGCGUGGGGAGC
This 397-nucleotide ribosomal RNA is filed under the name uncultured Oscillibacter sp. Its description in RNAcentral is "bacterial SSU rRNA". It matches the Rfam family "Bacterial small subunit ribosomal RNA", at positions 356 to 769 of the family's 1533-position model. The record is from RNAcentral. Lineage: Bacteria; Bacillati; Bacillota; Clostridia; Eubacteriales; Oscillospiraceae.